Molecule: unclassified non-coding RNA, 4360 nt
Filed under: Hevea brasiliensis (rubber tree)
Lineage: Eukaryota; Viridiplantae; Streptophyta; Magnoliopsida; Malpighiales; Euphorbiaceae
Source: RNAcentral
GAUCAAUGUUGUAAACACAGAAAGAGACAUAGUAGCAUGGACAAAGCACUUGAAUUAGUCUACAUUGUACAUUCUACAGAAGUUUAUCCUUCAGUUCGUGGAAUGGUAGGUGGCUUCAAUCAGAUUAAAAAAAAAAUAAAUCAAUCGAGAGUCACAACUGAAACUGUUAGAUAUGGACACCCUUACAUAAUUUGACAAUCAUAAUUGAACUUAGAAGAAUGAUUCGAAUGAGGCCUUGCGCUUCAUCCCAAAAGAAUCAUUAUUUGGCAAAGAUCAUAAAAAAUCAGCAAACUCUGUGGAAGAGAAAGAAUGGUUAGAAUAUGAAAUAAUAAUCAUGAUAAAAUUUUCACAUGCCUUGAGUCCUAAGUUCUCAUGGUACAACGUAGAAGACCAAUUCAUUAAUGAGAAUUGAUCACCCCCUACUAGCUCCUUUGCCAGAUUGGAUUUUAACAAUCCUAUCAGUCUCAAACCUUGCAGCAGCACUGCAGCACUACAUAGAAGCAUUGUUUAAGAUUGCAUUUCCAUUUUUACCUAAACCCAAGAAGAAAUAUAAGAAAGACUAUCUUUUCUUGAGAAAGAAUAUAAUUAGCGGGGCAUGCAUGCAUGCCUGCCUGCAUGAGAGCCAAAGUUAUAUACUUCCUUGAUAAUUCAACAACAGCAAUAUCAUCCCCUGGUGAUGGGUGUGUCUUCUGCAUCUGUGUUAGGAAAUAAGGCAGGGAAGCCAUUGCCAGAGGUAGCAACCAUAGUUUUGUGAAGCAAAAGUCCAUGAUCUUCCCAGACCAUUUUAUGCAUAAUACAUGUAAAGGCUGUUUGAUGCGGCGCAGGCGAGUAAGUUGUCACUUGGAUGCCAUGCUAGAUGUAACAACUUUGUUGUGAAAUCAAAAGCAUUCCCAUUUGUAUCAACUCCAUUGUUGUCUGCACCUUUUACAGUCAGCAUUUAAAAAAUUUUUAAAAAUAAAUUAGAAAAAAAAAGGCAGAAUAACAAGGUUAACUUGAUGUUACAUCAGGCAAAGAGCAAAAUUAACUGCGAAAAAGGAAAAACCCAAAAAUCCAAAAUACGUGCUUUUCUUGGGUAGGCUGAAAUGACAUACAAUUGAAUUAGGUUGCUUGACAUAAAUAAGCCAACUUGGUAAAAUUAAGAAACAGGAAACUUAAAGCAUAGAGCAAAAUUAACAGAUUAUCUUAAUUUACCUUUCCAAAAAGGGUCUUUUGAAAUCAUGAUUUUCUAAUAAUUAGCAGCUAAAUCUAUUGCUUGGAUAACAUUAAUGCCAAAUAUCAUCUUUUUCUUCCUGAUUUUUAAUAACACCAUAUAAAAGUAAUAUUUCAGCAAGCACAGACCUCGUCUAAAGCCACGAGAAAGAGUGCCCAGAGAUCUGGAAGAGCCUGACAACAGGGUUUGAACUUGUCUCCUCAUUGGAUUUUUGCUGGCUUCCAAAGUUGUUGCCUCAGCACUUCCCGGGCCACAACCAAACACACGGAACAGAUUGCUGGGUUUGCAUAAAAAGUAUUAAGAUACAUUUCAACAAAAACACAUGGAUAUACCAAGAUAUGGGCACUAAAUGCAGACCUGUAAGAUCCUGUUGCCACUCGCAAUCCAUCACCACUCAAACAACACUCGAACUUAUCAAAAAUUGAAUCAUUUUCAUACAAAUCACACAACUGGAUACAUUCAAAGAAAAUUAUGAUCAGUACAAUGCAGCCUAGUUAAAUGACUUUAUGUUCAAUUUUGCCUGACAAGGGGGAAAAAAUCUUACCUUAGGUCUUAAAUGCUCAUGAACCUGGAAGGUUGCAACUGGACCCGAAUCCAUAUUGAUGUCCCAUAACUUAAGAGUCAUAUAGUCGCGACUAAGUAUGUGCCGUCCAUCCUUAGCAAAUUUAAUAUCUGAGAUUGAAGCAAUUAUCUCUGUAAAAAAUGAUCUUGAGCCUGGUGCCUCCUGUUCCUCAAACAACUUGGCAUGAGAGUCACAUAAAGCUGAUUGCCGCAAAUCAAUGAGUCGGAUUGAGCCUCUUGAACUGCUAUAUGCCAACAUGUUGCAAUGGUUGGGGUGGAAUUCUGCAGAUGUUAUAACCUCUGCAAAGAUCAAGAAAUUAGGUAGAUAACUAAAGCAAUAAAUCGUUGAACAGAUACUUGCCACUUGAAAGAAACACUUGAUCAAUCAAAAAGAGGAAACUUAACACUAGUUUAUCCAGGAAUAAUUUAAGCGUAAAUGCAGAGGGUAAACCUAAUAGCGUACACACAACACUGGCAUACACAGCAAAAACCAGGCCAGGUAAAAUUUUAUUCAACUAAGAGGCCAAAAUAUUUUACAGAAAGGAAGGCAAAGGAUAACAGGGAAAUUAUUUAAAGGCAGGCAGGUAUGGACACCAUAUCUCAUGUCAAAAUCAGGAUCAGAAAAAUUGUUUAUGGGCAUGUUGGUUGGCCUAAUACAUCAAUGGCCUAUUUGACAUUGCUAAUGGAAGUUUGGAACUGCUGUUGAACAAAGCACAUCCUUAAAUAUGUUAUUUAGAGGAUAUUAAAAAGUGGUUUAAAGUCAAAUUUGACAUAUUUUAACUUUUAACCAUGAGAACUAAACAUCUUUUUUCAAACUGCUUUUUUUAACACAUAAAAUGGUGCUUUAAAAAAAAAGGCAGCUUUUUAGCCUCUCAACUACAAUCCCAAUUGAAGCCUAAGUUUCAAUACAUCCCUGAACAACAGAGUAAGAAGCUUACCUGUUAGAUCCUCCAUAUUUGCAGGUUUCACAUCAACAAUAUUGAAACUUUGAUUGCAAAUUUCUAAAUUCCAAAGAUUUAUUCUUAGAUCGUCAGCUGAUAUAAAAGUUUCACCAUCACUACAACAUAAAGAAAGGAAUUAGCAGGAAUGACAAAUGCCAUGGAUGUGAUUGUAAAAACAGCACACAUUUCAGCAAUAUAGCAACAAUUUCAAAAUGUAUAAGCACCAAAAUGAUAUGAAAAUUGAAAAAACACGCAAUGAUGAUAAUCAUUUUCCUCUAAAAAGUGAAGAAAAAAAAAAACAAGAAGAGAGAGAGAGAUAAUUUCUCCUCAAUCUCACAUGAUUCCAAGAUCAUGUACCAAAUUAAUUAUGAAAUCAGAAAAAAAAAAAAUUAAGCACGUGCGCAGGAACACUUUGAUAAUUGAAUUUAAAGAUGGCAGCUCAAGACAAGGAUCUAGCAACAAGAAAGAAAUAGAUAUGCAUUUAACAAAAUGAGUGAAUGCACCUGUUAUUAGAAAUGGAAUUAAUAUGAUAGUCAUGGGCAUGAGGAUAUGUUCUUCGGCACCUAGCCACAAUGCUCGUUUCAUGACAGGUCAACAUAGGCAAAUGUAGAUUUGGGACUCCCCCAGGUGAGAAGGAAAAGUCAUUGCUUGGAAAACCAAAAGGUCCAUCCAAUGAUCCUCCAUUUGCAGUAUACUGUUUGCAGUUGGAGCUUGUUGGCAUGCUUGAACCUAGAAUAGGACCGUUUCCUGUGGCAUUUUCAGGGUCAACAUUCAUGUCACAUACUUUCUUGACCUUCUUCUCUUGGACCUUCCAAAACUUGAUGGUUUUGUCAUUAGUCGACAGAAGAAACAAGGCACCAUUAGCUGACUGGCACCAUCUAACUUUGUUGAUUUUCUCCUCAAUUUCCAAGCUCCUUAGAUAAUCAAACUCAGGUUCAUGACUCUGAAACUCUGUUUUGUACCGGAACUCAGGAUGCCUGUUGAUAGAAAUAUCCAUCCGCUCUAGAUCUCUUCGUUGUCCAUCAUGCUCUCUUGUGUCAGUUCUUUCAAAUAAAACCACCCGACCACCACGAUCUCCAGUAGCAAGGUAGUUGCCAGUUCUAUCAAAUUCAAUAGCAGAUAUGAUAUCAACUUCCUGGACUUCUUCACCAGCCGUCCGUUCCCCAAACACCUGAGAAAAUUUCCACUCCAACGGCUGCAGCGGCACCCCCACGGAAGCCACCGCAGCAGCCUCCGCACUGCCGGCACCGUUCAUUCUGCUCCACGUCUCUUCGACAAGAAGAAAUCCCCGGAAACAAAACCGAUCAGAUACUCAGAAUCGGAACAACAAAAUCAACGACCCGCAACAAUCUCCAUUUGAAACAGAUAUAUCUCCUGAUUAAUCAACCAUUAGAACCAGAAGCACAGAGAUUGAAGAACAUUAACGAAAUUCCACGCAUAGAAAACGCGCGCGCGCCCACACACACACCCACUCUCUCCCUCUCUCUCUCUCAAUCGCGAUGGCCCUCUGUUAAUUUCUUCCGUUGCUCUUCUUUUACGAGUCCGGCAGAUAAUGACGGAGUGAAAGAUGCGACGUAGCUUUUAGGCUGAUAAUUGGAUUUACUGCUAAUUUUUGUUAAUUGUGUACGCUUCUCGAUUUCCUUUUUGC